ACAGCUGUUGGAGCUUCAAGAGCAGCAGCGUCAAGUGGAGCUUCAACAGCAGCACCAACAAUUGGAUCGUCACCAAGAGCAUUGGUUACUCCAGCAGCAACAGCAACUAAGGAACCAUCAAUUGAAGUUGCAGCAACAGAGGCAGCAACAGCAGCAACAACUGGCCCUUGAAAGGUUUCUACAGCAUCAGAUGUCCAAUGUUGGUUAUGGACAGAUGG
Molecule: long non-coding RNA, 218 nt
Filed under: Linum usitatissimum (flax)
Lineage: Eukaryota; Viridiplantae; Streptophyta; Magnoliopsida; Malpighiales; Linaceae
Description: long non-coding RNA (LUSI_LNC000212)
Source: RNAcentral